Molecule: long non-coding RNA, 443 nt
Organism: Octodon degus (degu)
Lineage: Eukaryota; Metazoa; Chordata; Mammalia; Rodentia; Octodontidae
Exons: 4
Source: RefSeq, a predicted model, not a curated record
AUCCCAUACAAAUACACCUGAGCACACACAGAGCCUCAGACUUCCUGCCCCUGCCCUGCACUCUCAGGUGUCCCUGUGUCACAUCCUGCUCCUGCCCCACAAAGAUGGAUCCAGGUCAUAAGGGGCACUGCCAUGGUGGUCAUCCUCCAGGUCACUCCCAUGGUCAUGGUCCAGGGCACUGUCCCAGACCAGCCCACCCACCAGGACCCGGUGGACCUCCCCCUGGUCAUGGCCCAUGCCACUGUCCUAAACCACACCCCCCACCAGGACCUGGUGGACCACCCCCUGGCCAUGGUCCAGGGCACUGUGGGCAUCCCCAUGGUCCACAUCAUUGAGGAAUAAGAAGAAAAUAAGAGAGAAGAUAAGAAAAGCCUCAACGGGCUUCCAUGCUGCCCACAACAGAACCUGAACCAACAUCUUCUAUUCCUAAUAAACAGCUUCCU